AGAGUUUGAUCCUGGCUCAGAACGAACGCUGGCGGCACGUUUUAAGCAUGCAAGUCGAACGGUAGAGAAGUGCUUGCACUUCUUGAGAGUGGCGAACGGGUGAGUAACACGUAGAUGAUCUACCUUGUAGUUGGGGAUAGCCUAUGGAAACAUAGGGUAAUACCGAAUAAGCUCUUAUCUCUUUGGAGAUUAGAGGAAAAGUGCGUUUGCACUGCUAUUAGAUGAGUCUGCGCCUGAUUAGCUUGUUGGUGGGGUAAGGGCCUACCAAGGCGACGAUCAGUAGCCGGCCUGAGAGGGUGACCGGCCACAUUGGGACUGAGACACGGCCCAGACUCCUACGGGAGGCAGCAGCUAAGAAUCUUCCGCAAUGGACGAAAGUCUGACGGAGCGAUGCCGCGUGUACGAAGAAUGUCGAGAGAUUGUAAAGUACUUUUCUAUAUGAAGAAUAACGAUGUCAGGAAAUGGGCGUUGGAUGACGGUAAUAUAGGAAUAAGCACCGGCCAAUUACGUGCCAGCAGCCGCGGUAACACGUAAGGUGCGAGCGUUGUUCGGAAUUAUUGGGCGUAAAGGGCUUGUAGGCGGUUUGGAAAGUCUGAAGUAAAAGAUCACAGCUUAACUGUGGGAGUGCUUCGGAAACUAUCAAACUAGAAUCCGAGAGGGGAAGGUAGAAUUCCUGGUGUAGGGGUGAAAUCUGUUGAUAUCAGGAAGAAUACCAGAGGCGAAGGCGACCUUCUGGCUCUGGAUUGACGCUGAGGAGCGAAAGCGUAGGUAGCGAACAGGAUUAGAUACCCUGGUAGUCUACGCCGUAAACGAUGUACACUUGGUGGUGGGCUUAAGCUCGCUGCCGAAGCUAACGCGUUAAGUGUACCGCCUGGGGAGUAUGCCGGCAACGGUGAAACUCAAAGGAAUUGACGGGGGCCCGCACAAGCGGUGGAGCAUGUGGUUUAAUUCGACGAUACGCGAGGAACCUUACCAGGGUUUGACAUAUAUAGGACCGCACUAGAGAUAGUGUUUUCACUUCGGUGACUUAUAUACAGGUGCUGCAUGGUUGUCGUCAGCUCGUGCCGUGAGGUGUUGGGUUAAGUCCCGCAACGAGCGCAACCCCUAUUGUCUGUUGCCAGCAUUAAGUUGGGGACUCAGGCAAGACUGCCGGUGACAAACCGGAGGAAGGUGGGGACGACGUCAAAUCAUCAUGCCCCUUAUAUCCUGGGCUACACACGUGCUACAAUGGCUUGUACAAUGCGUUGCGAAAUUGUGAAAUGGAGCUAACCGCAAAAAGCAAGUCUCAGUUCGGAUUGAUGUCUGAAACUCGACUUCAUGAAGGUGGAAUCGCUAGUAAUCGCAUAUCAGAAUGAUGCGGUGAAUACGUUCCCGGGCCUUGUACACACCGCCCGUCACACCACCCGAGUUGGAGGUACCCGAAGCCACUAGUCUAACCUUUUAGGAGGACGGUGUCGAAGGUAUGUUCGGUGAGGGGGGUGAAGUCGAAACAAGGUA
This 1497-nucleotide ribosomal RNA is filed under the name metagenome. RNAcentral's name for it is "bacterial SSU rRNA". It matches the Rfam family "Bacterial small subunit ribosomal RNA". The record is from RNAcentral.